RNAcentral lists this long non-coding RNA (244 nucleotides) under Ananas comosus (pineapple). RNAcentral describes it as "long non-coding RNA (ACOM_LNC021043)". Lineage: Eukaryota; Viridiplantae; Streptophyta; Magnoliopsida; Poales; Bromeliaceae. The record is from RNAcentral.
UUUUUAAAAAAAUGUCAGAUGUUGUUUAUUUUCUUAAAAUCUGAAAUCUGAACAUCUGAGAGUCAUUAUUUCUUUUGAAAAAAAAUUGAGAGUUAUUAUUUCUGGGAGUUAUUAUUUCUUUUGAAAAUUUUAAAAAAGUUUGGAAAAAAUUUGAAAUCUGAGAGUUAUUAUUUCUUUUCUUAAAAUUUUGGAAAAUUUGAAAAAUUUGAAAAUCUUAAUGAAAUUUCAGAUGUUGUUUUAGUUA